UUAGCAAAUUGCUACUAGUUUUAAUAGGAUUAAGCAGCAUAUAUAUAAUUUACGUCUUAUAGCAAUUUAUAUCGAGGCGGCAAAUGGCUUUGGUUGGUUAGAUUUAUGCAAUUAAAGGCGGCAAUAUAAUAUUUAGAAACCUGACGGGCUUGUGGCUUUUAUAGUAGCACAAUGUGGAACAAAUUACCCUCCUAGUUAUAUUUUAGGCGAUAACCUAUUUCUAAAAUGGUUAAAAGAUCGAAAUUUUACGUUUUUUAGGCUAAAAAAAACUAUAGCCGGUAAAGAAUUAGGCCGAUGCAGUUUAAGCAAAUUUGCUUUAAAAAUAUAACAGUUAAAAGUUUGCCACCGAGAAAUUUGCUGAAUUUUGACCGUGAUAUUUUGGAUAUAUUUUAAAAAAGAAAAGUCCUGUUUCGGAAAUUAUCCGGAGGGGGGUAUGUAAUGGGAAACAAAUAUUCCACGAUAAAUAUAAUGUGGAACCCAAUUCGUGGCAAUUAUAGGGCAAAUGCCUAAGAAAACAUAUAUGUAGGACGAAGGAUUAAAGGCGAAGUUGGUUCUAAGGGGACCUUUCGUUACGGGUUCGUUCCUAUUGGUCUUUACCUCCACGGAGUUUUUGGAAAGGAUAAUUAUAUGGUAAUAUCCCGGGAUUUAUUACACGGUACAAAGCUUUUAACCAUCCUUCUAUAACCGCAAAUGCAUUUAUCAGGAGGUUUCCGUAAUUAAUUGUACCUGUUUCAAGAAUGUCGACCGGAAAGCACUAAUAAUAGAAGAUAUAAGGAUUCGGGCUCGCUGCUGUAAUCUCCUAUUCCUAACAGGUUAUUGCCUGUAAGGCAUUUGAUUAAUUUGCGUAUAUAAUUAAAAAUAAAACUGGUUAAAGUUAUUAACCCCCGAUUUCAAAUAAGAAAAAUUAAAGAGUCGAGGAGGAAGAGCUUUCUAAAAGGUAUGUUUUGUGGCGGGUUAAUUCCUAUUGGCUUUUCCCUCCAUAAUACCUUCUAAUAAAUAAUUUGGAAUAGCGUUUAGGUAUUUAAUCGGGAUAUAUUUGUGUCGAUUUGUAUUUUACAAAGUUAUAUAAUAUUUUAGGGGUAUUGCUGUUUGUUAAUUAAUCCAAACCUGGGCGGAUAUAUAACGAAUUUCUUUGGUAACGCGUUAUAAAAAUACGACAGAUUUUAAACCUUAUUACUAUAUAAUUGUAUUGGCGAAUUAUAGAAAGUUAUGGUAGCCACCAACGCCCUAACCCAGCCUAAAUGGUUUCGAAACCCAGUUUUGGCUAUUAUAGCUGUUUGGGUUUAAGCAUUUCCGGGGAGAGGCUAGGCGUGUUCCCAGGUAUUUGUCUUUGGCCUCCCCGAAAUUAUAUUGCCGUUUCCGGUUUUCGUUCCCGCAAAAAAUGCGAGCCAAAUACGAGAUUUUUGCCACCCGGUAUUAUGGGUAUUUACCCAAAUAAAAGGAGUUAUAAUACCUGGAUACCCCAUUUAUAAAUUGCAGGGAUCCUUUAAUAACCCGGGUUCGCCGUUAUAAUCGCUUACCCCCAACAAGUCGCUAUAUAUAUACUGGUCAAAGGUGAAUUUUGUAACGGGUUUUUCCUAUUAGUUUUUAUUUCCAUGGAGUCUUUGGGGUAAUUUCGGCGUCGCAUUCCGGCACGCAAUUGGGAUAUUCUUAUAUGGAUUUGCACUUUCCCGAAUGUUUAUUCUCGGCCUCCCCGAGAUUGCAUUGCCUUUUCUGUUUUGUUUUUAUGCAAAAAAUGCGAGCCAGGCAUAAUAUUCCUACCAUCCGUUGGAAUUUUGGGCGUAUUGUUUUUGGGGCCUUUGUUUCCGGUAAUAAGUAUAUUAUGCCCACUUAACCACCCUGGGAACAGCUUUGGCAAUUGAAGAAAAGAUGGUAACGCCAAUACAAUUUUAAUUAUAAACCCAUUAGGAUUUUUUGGGUGCCAGAAUUAUUGGGUAAAGGUUAUUAUUUUAAUGCGUUAUUAUAAAAAAAAGCCCCAAUUACAUAUUUGUUUAUCCAGCAUUUUUGAAACUAACUUUUUUAUCAUUUGCGUAUCCAUACCCAUUUUGAGCAAAUUCGCCAAACUUAUUUUAUUAAAAUAGGCAGGUAUUUAGGUUUAAUAUUAUAAUAUGGCCAUUUAUUUAAUACGGGCCAAAAUGUUACCGUCGGCGCCGAUAUAUCCCUUUGUACAACUCGAUAAUAACUUUGGUGCUGUAACCUUUCCCCGCGCAAUUGGAACAAUUUUUGUUUGUGGAAAUAUAUUUCCACCUAUAGCAUUUUUUACACCCGUAUCCCGCGUACUCCCCGCUCCCGUAAUAAACGUUACAUUAAAUUCCACAAUUGUUGCACUUUUUUAAUUUUUCCUUUAAAACCUGCCCCGGAGGACCAUUCUCGUUUCGGUAACAAAAUAAGCAUAUCGCCAUAUUUGGUGGGUGGUAAUACGGCGAUAUUAACGACAAGGUCGGGAAUGGUGGUAAACGGACCAGAAUUAGAGGAGUUAAAAUUUAUACUUUUUUAUAAAACUGUAAACAAAAUGCUUUAAAUAUUAAUAAUUGGCCAAUAUAUAGUGGGUAACAGGCUUUUUUUGGAAAUAGGAUAAAACUCGUAUUUUAAUUUCUCAAACCAAUAAAAGGUUAUUUUAUUAGAUUUAAACCAGGGGAUAAAAAGAUUAAAACCUCCAAAAAUUUAUUAAUAGAAAAUGCUGCUAAAUUUAUAAAACUUCACCUAAUAGCAAUGUUAUUUCCAGUUUGCGUGUUUUGGUUCGCAAUCGUCCCAAUUUUACACCGCCAAAUAAAACAACUAUUUAAAAUCUGCUGGGGUAAUUAAAAUUGCAAAUUAACAUCCCUGCAACAUAAGUUUAAUACGGAGAACCCGAAAAAUAUAAGGAGUUUAUAAAACCAAAUUUAUAGGAUAAAAUACUGGUAUAAUAACGUAAUAAUAUAAGAAAAAUAACAGGUAGGAGGAAAGUAGGGGUACAGGUGGAAACUCUUGGGAGCCGAAAAAUUAUAAAAACAUGCCAAAAUACCUAACGUAAGCAAAAUGCAUUAUAUUAAACAACCUACGUUCAGGACCGGGAUUAUUAAUGUUCGAACAACGAGGCAACCAAAGGUUUACAAAAUUUAUUCCCGAAAUGCAUUUAUUAAUUUAUACCGUGUUUAACCUUGCAGGUUUUUAAUGUAUUUAUUAUAUAACAUUUUGAAACAAAGGUCUUCCUAUUACGUUUUUGUAAUAGCAUGCCUAAUUUAACGGUGAAAACCGGGGAAAUUUUAAUAAUAAAAAAACCUUUUGUAACGGGCUCGUUCCUAUUGGCCUUUACCUCCAUUAAACCUUUUAAAAUAAUUAGGUAUUUAAUUAAAAUAUAUUUGUACCGAACGGCAUUUUACAAUAUUAUUCCCUUUAGCCCAUUCCCUCGUUCUAAGCGCAGGACUCCGAGGGCCAGCUUUAGGGCAAAAUUGGUUCAAAAGAAUUUCAAACUCAGAUCCCGUUCUUAUGGAGGACGAUACCGAAAAAAUUCCAUUAGAAAUAUUUAAUCGGGUCGACCAGACGACUCCUUUAUAAACCACCUAAAGGUUAUAAUAUAAUAACGUUAAAUUCGUUACACCGCUUUUUAAUAUAUCGAUCGAGGCUGUUCCCAUAAAUAUAGUCCGACAAAAAACACCGGUGCAGUUCGUUAAGGGAGUAGUGUUAGGUAUAAGCCGUUUCGUUGCUCCUCGACCUUCCUAAGAGUUUCGUGCGACACCCAACCUCGCAUUACAUUGUACAAAGCCCAGAAAGUUCUAUUAAAAUCCGAAUUUGCUACCUAGUUUAAUUGGCACGAAGUUUUUAAAACUGGUUAAACAUUGCAUAUUUCAAAGUUUUCCAAACCUCAAAAAAAUUUAAAAUAGAUUUUUUGAAAUGUCCUUUUAAAAACGCAUAAAUGCCUUCGACUCGAGAGUUAACCAAAUUAUUAAAAUAUGGGUGUUAAUUAAACCCAAAUUUUAACCGGUUUUUUUUUGUAAAAAUCCAAAUAUGUUGAUUUAAUAUAUGCAAUUUCGUUGCUAUGGCCGGUAAAAUAGUGUUUUUCGAACCCGACAGAAGACGCCAAGAGGUUUUUGGCUAAUGUGGGCUUUGAAGCUUUUGUAAACAAAUAAUUUUGAUCCAAUAUUUGGUUAAUAUUAAUGAAAGUAAUUGCACCCUUAUUACAUUGGGUGGUCUUUUGUUAACGCAUAUGUUAGAUUACUUUGGCAUACUUUUCGAUACCUGGCGUGCGAGCGGGCGGCACUGAGGUUCGAUACAUUUAUAAAGCCCACCGAUACCAAAUAUAUUGGAAACGCAUUGGCUCACCGGCGCUGCCCACAAACGCUUUGUUAUUAUUAUAUAUCUGCUAUAUUUAAUUGAUUUUAUACGAGGCCAGCUAACAGUGUACAAUCUGGACUUAUAUCCCUAUAAUAGCAUCUGGAAAUUUGAAAAGCUUCAGAAAAAGUUUUUAGACUUUUUUGCCCUGAUUUGCUUUAUUUUAAAAGUAGGUGGAAAUAUAACUUCGGCAAUUUGUUUGGAACAAGGCCAUCCGAUUGGAAAUGUUUUGCGUUUUGCGCGGAAUUUUGGCGUUUUUCCCGACCUUGUCGACCAGUUUUAGCAAAUUUUAUAUAACCUAACCGUUAUUAUUUCGAAAAGUAAAUAAUUAAAAUUACCUUGUGGUCCACGAACCGUUAAUAUUAAUACGUUUGCAGAAAUGUUAGUAAAGGACGGAGAAUAUAAAAUUUUGCUAAAGAUUAUUAAUUUGAUUUAUAAUAAAAUUUGGUCACUUUUAAAUAAAUUCCAUAAUCCAAAAAUCCACGCUAUUGUCCAACGAAAAAUUUCUGCAUUACGGAAAAACGAAUCGUAUUUGGAGGACGGCGAAAAAGCCAAUUUUUAACAGUGGAUUACCACCUUUCCCUCCCUGAUAUUACUAAACUUUAAUACAACGCUUGUUUAGUUCGUUCCGCAUAUAAUAUAGGUGGCCCAGGCGCGAUGGAUUUAUUUAGAGCAGAUAAAAGCGUUGUUUUGCUCCGAAAAGGAAGAGUUGCCCCUGUGGUUCAAACACGUAUAUAAACUCGCGCGAUACCAUUUAGCCACAAAAAUUAUAAUCAAGUUCGCCACCAGGCAGCCUAACUUUUUUACAACCAUUUAUAUUAAAGUUGUGGAAAUUCCAGGACAGCAGCGGUUUUUUUUGGCGAACGACAUUACGGCCCUUAGGAUAACGUUUUAAAGGUUAAUUAAAAUAGACCCUGGAUUAUUUGUCGAAAAAUUUGGCCAGAUUUGGUUUACGGAUAAUCCAGAGGCUCGUUUUCGCAAAACGUGCCGUUUUAAUUUUAUAAUCCAUGCAAAAAUGCAAUUUUUUAUAUUUUACAAUUAUUACCCAAAUUUUAUACCACGCUUUUUAUUUAUAAAUAUAAAUAAAAAAAUUUGUUUCCUUUGCCACAAUUUCUUAUCCCGGCAUCCAUUGGCGAUUGGUAUAUUAACCAAUUACCAAAAACUGUAUCCAAUUUGGAUACCAGUUCCGUGUUCGUUUUCGGUGCGGAAAAAAUAUAAAACCCUGUUUUGGAACUUUAAUCGUCACCUGGAAAAAACGGUUCUCCGCAACCUGGAAACCAGAUUUGGCGUUCGGCGACCGGUUUACAUGGAUUUUAUUACAGGGCCCUUUUUAACAAUUAUUGGAACGUUUUUAUUAUUUUUAUUAAUUAUAAAACUGCCUAUUCGAUUUAAAUUAAUGGAAGAUUAAAAACCCUCCUUAAAUACCGGAAUAAUUAUAAAAUAGUUUAAAGGUGCAAAAAGUAAUUAAAGGUUAGGUAAGGCGGUGUUUAAAUUAUUACGGAUAUUCUAAUAAUUUUGGCGCUGGUUUGUGGAUUAUUAAAAACCUUUCAAAUCUCCAAAUGGUUUUGUUUAAAACAAAAUUGCCUUAUAUUACCUUAUUUCCGAUAAUGGGAGGGUAUUUAUAUAGUCACUAAUAAUGCGAUGGACGUAUUUUUCGGAAUGUCGCAAAAAAAAUACAAUUAAAAUGUAAAGAAUAUCUUUUAAAAUAUAUUUUAUAUUUGCUUCUGUUUAAUUUUAUAAUUUAUAUUUUUUAAUUAUUUCUUGGGCCAAAAAAACCUGCAAAAUUUAUCACGUCGUUUCAGGUAAUUGAAAAAUGGUUAAUAAUAGCGGCAGCGAUAGGGAGCGGAAUAUUUGAAUUAAGGAAAUCUUUCGCGACACCUAUUCCAUCCUUUUAUAUAAUUGGCGCUCCAAUUAACCGGUGAACAUUUUGUUUUUUAUUUGCAUUUUCCAUUAAUAAUUACUUCUUUUAAUAAUUUACCCGCAAAUAUAUUGGUAAUAAACCAGGGUAACCCGUGGAAUAUAACUCUGUGGAAUAAUCCACGAAUAAUAUUAGUAAAAAUAUACCUAAGGUUAUUUAAUACCGUAUAUAAUAAUUAUAAUAUUAAUCGUUCGUUUAACCAAAUAAUUACGCAAACCUGAAUUUUUUCAAUUAUGCAGGAGGAUUCCAUAUCCGCGGUUUGGAACAAAAGCGCAAUCCGAUUUAAGGGCCUGGGGCGACAAAUUGCGGGGUUCGGCGUUUUAUUGCGAUAAUGGGGGUUUACGGGCGGACCGUCUCACAUUUUUUCCACCAUGCAGGAGGCCAUUUGUUCGCAUCCGAUUGGGAAAAAUAUACAAAAAUACGUGUUAAAAUAUACAAAUAAUCUUUAUUUAACGUUUUGCAUUUUAAUAUUUUAUUAUACCGGUUUGUUUCCAAGCAGUUAUAAAAUUAGUUCCGUGCAAAUGCCUAUAGUUUAAAAACAGCGUUAUUUGUUAAUUUCCCAGGGUCCGCUGCUCGUUACAAAUUAAAUAUAUUUUAUAAAUGUUUUUUAUUAAUUAAUAAAUUAAUUACAAACGCAGCACAAUUUAUCGUCGUGUAGGAUAAAUAACCGUUUGCAUAUAAUAUAAUACCGCGUUAUUUUAAUAUAAUAUGGUGGAAAUAAAUAAAAAAAUAACAAUAUAUAUAUAUAAAGAAUUUGUUAAUUUAAAAAAUGCGGUAAUAAAUUGUGGUAUUGUAUUGGAAAUAUUGGUAAAAAAUAACAAAACGGCCUCGCUUAAUUUACAUCCUUUUUUCUAAUAUUUGGCCCUUGAUUAAUUAAACCUUUUAUCAGUUAUUAUUAAAAUCGAUAUUAAUAUUUAGCAUUUUUCAAUAUCGAAAUAAAUAUUUUGAUAUUCCCCAGACCGUAACACCAACCUUAUAAAUAUUUGGAAUUUAUAUUUGCUACGUUUGGCCGUGGCCGGUUUAUCGCAAAAUAACAGUAACGUCGCUGGAAUGCCGCUUCCCUCGGGGGAUCCAAAUUUGCAAUAUUCGGAAAAUUUCCCGGCUUUUUUUAAAACGCUACAACAGCAGUUGGAAAAGUUUCAAAAUUGAAUUUAUCCUUUUUUAAAGCGGUUUUUGCUCCGAUAUUAAUAUUUUUUUGCAAAAGGCGUUCCAAUACGGGUCCAACACCUAUAAUACCCUGUUAAUUACCGAUUAAAACAUUAUAUAUAACGCUUUGAAACAAAAAUAUUAUUCCAACCAGCUAAGGAAAUAUAAAUUCGUUAUUUUUGGUAAUAAUUACCAAAGUAUCAAAUUUUCUGCAGGAAUUAUAUUCCAGGAUUUUUUGCCUUCCCGGCCGCGAAAUAAUAACGCUCCGAAACGACGGGCAAUAAUUAUCGACUGUAAAAUAAUGGGUAUAAAAACUCCAACAACAAUUAAAUAAUAAUAUUAAAACCAGGUUGGAUUUGCGUUUGAAGGGAAAAUUUAUUUUAAAAACAGUCUUUUAUCGCUGCAUUAACCAAUUUAUUAAAAAAAUAACCGAAACCCAAAUAGGAGAUUAAGGAAAUUUGCGCCAGGCAGGAUCGUAGCAACCAAUUUAGUGCGUUAAACCUAUUUUCCUAAAAUAGUAUUUAAAAUACCUGCCGAAAUCGGAAAAUAUAGCAAUGUUAAUAACAACCGUAUUAUAAUAGAAAUACCCGUUACCAUCGCCUAAUUACCGCCAAACAAAAGAUUUACCCCGCAUUUGGCUAUUUUUCCUUUGCAAAUUAAAUUAUACAUCCAUUAUUGGUUAUAUUUGUGGAAAACUUUCCGCAAUCCAAAUAUUCGUUCGUAAUUUAUAUAAACAAUAACCGCCGAAUUUUUAUUUGUAAGAUAUA
Molecule: small RNA, 8142 nt
Filed under: Pyricularia oryzae
Lineage: Eukaryota; Fungi; Ascomycota; Sordariomycetes; Magnaporthales; Pyriculariaceae
Description: Magnaporthe oryzae sRNA M_BR32_EuGene_00135701
Source: RNAcentral